Etheostoma cragini (Arkansas darter) is the source of this 176-nucleotide long non-coding RNA. RefSeq lists it as uncharacterized. NCBI's taxonomy places the organism in Eukaryota, Metazoa, Chordata, Actinopteri, Perciformes, Percidae. The record is from RefSeq and is a predicted model, not a curated record. The transcript has 3 exons.
UACUAGAUAAAGAUGACAAGGAGGAUUUAAAAACAUGAGACCCUUCAGAUAAGGUCAUUAUCUUCACUCGAGUUUCUGAGUGGGGAAGUUGCCGGACGACACACUCUUGUGAACGUAGCCAUACUGAGAAAUACAGAGAGAACUGUGUGGAGCCGAUAGCCUUAAUUAGCUUUGUA